AGUCACUGACAUUAGAUACCCCCGUAGUCCAGGGUGUAAACGCUGCGGGCUUGGUGUUGGGGGUCCUUUGAGGGCGCCCAGUGCCGGAGAGAAGUUGUUAAGCCUGCUGCUUGGGGAGUACGUCCGCAAGGAUGAAACUUAAAGGAAUUGGCGGGGGAGCACCGCAACGGGAGGAGCGUGCGGUUCAAUUGGAUUCAACGCCGGACAACUCACCAGGAGCGACGGUUACAUGAAGGCCAGGCUGAUGACCUUGCCUGAUUUUCCG
This 265-nucleotide ribosomal RNA is filed under the name uncultured archaeon. RNAcentral describes it as "partial 16S ribosomal RNA". It matches the Rfam family "Archaeal small subunit ribosomal RNA", at positions 718 to 982 of the family's 1478-position model. The record is from RNAcentral.